This 329-nucleotide ribosomal RNA is filed under the name uncultured eukaryote. Its description in RNAcentral is "partial 18S ribosomal RNA". It matches the Rfam family "Eukaryotic small subunit ribosomal RNA", at positions 1470 to 1796 of the family's 1831-position model. The record is from RNAcentral.
CCCUUAGAUGUCCUGGGCUGCACGCGCGCUACACUGACGAACUCAACGAGCUUAUCACCUUGGCAGAGGUGUCUGGGUAAUCUUUUGAAAGUUCGUCGUGCUGGGGAUAGAUGAUUGUAAUUAUUCGUCUUGAACGAGGAAUUCCUAGUAAGUGUGAGUCAUCAGCUCGCGCUGAUUACGUCCCUGCCCUUUGUACACACCGCCCGUCGCUCCUACCGAUUGAAUGGUCCGGUGAGGUUCUCGGAUUUUUUCUGUUGUUUGGUUCGCUAAACGAUUGAAGAGAGAAGUUACCCAAACCUUACCAUUUAGAGGAAGGAGAAGUCGUAACA